This 314-nucleotide ribosomal RNA is filed under the name uncultured bacterium. Its description in RNAcentral is "partial 16S ribosomal RNA". It matches the Rfam family "Bacterial small subunit ribosomal RNA", at positions 495 to 807 of the family's 1533-position model. The record is from RNAcentral.
GUAUAAGAGACAGCAGUAGCCACGGUAAUACAGAGGGUGCGAGCGUUAAUCGGAAUUACUGGGCGUAAAGCGUGCGCAGGCGGUUAUAUAAGACAGAUGUGAAAUCCCCGGGCUCAACCUGGGAACUGCAUUUGUGACUGUAUAGCUAGAGUACGGCAGAGGGGGAUGGAAUUCCGCGUGUAGCAGUGAAAUGCGUAGAUAUGCGGAGGAACACCGAUGGCGAAGGCAAUCCCCUGGGCCUAUACUGACGCUCAUGCACGAAAGCGUGGGGAGCAAACAGGAUUAGAUACCCCGGUAGUCCCUGUCUCUUAUAC